This 132-nucleotide small RNA is filed under the name Klebsiella quasipneumoniae subsp. similipneumoniae. Its description in RNAcentral is "RtT sRNA". It matches the Rfam family "RtT RNA". From Rfam's summary of the family: This family represents a bacterial cis-regulatory element known as RtT RNA. The exact function of RtT is unknown although it is thought that it may be involved in changing the cellular response in relation to amino acid starvation. RNAcentral also lists the same sequence under 1 other name. The record is from RNAcentral. Lineage: Bacteria; Pseudomonadati; Pseudomonadota; Gammaproteobacteria; Enterobacterales; Enterobacteriaceae.
UAUUCUGCCCUACGGGGAAGGAUGAGAAGCUUCGACUAAGGUUCGACUCGAGCGUAGCGAGAGAACGUUGCCGAAGGCAACGGCCCGAAGGGCGAGGCGCUUUAGCGCCGAGUUAUCCUUCCCCCACCGCUG